This is a non-coding RNA of Cinara cedri, 519 nucleotides long. The record is from the annotation of a GenBank genome assembly. Lineage: Eukaryota; Metazoa; Arthropoda; Insecta; Hemiptera; Aphididae.
GUAUAGAUUUAUAUUUUAUUCGUUGGAACCUAGCAGUAUAUUAUCGGGUUUGUCCCAAUAUAUGUCCACAGCUGUAUAAACAAUCUAUGUAAUAAUAGAAAUAUUAGGUUUUUCCUAGUAUAAACACAACCGUUACUAACGCCCAAUUGAUUAUCCAUUUUAGAAAUCGCCAAAUCGGAAAAAAUUUUGAGUAUAAAUAAAUAUUAUUACGAUUAAAAGUACGCCAAGACCACAACGGACCGACCGAGAUUUACUUAUCAUCUCUAAUAAAUCAUAACUAGUAAACAAAAAAGAAGGGGACAAGAUCCCCACCAACCCUACAUCAUCCGCCUGGCAAUGGUGUGUACUAUUCAGAGGAGGUUUAAGUUCCUAUUACCAAAACGUACGCAAUUUCGAGAUAUUACCGUAUAGAUAGGAUAAUAGAGGGAUGAUCAACUCCUACAAAAUUAGGUAAUCUAUAUUGACAUAAUGUUCACUCCUACACUAGAUAGUUAUAAAGUUAAAAAAAGUAAAAUAAGG